Molecule: ribosomal RNA, 405 nt
Filed under: uncultured Anaerolineaceae bacterium
Lineage: Bacteria; Bacillati; Chloroflexota; Anaerolineae; Anaerolineales; Anaerolineaceae
Description: bacterial SSU rRNA
Rfam family: Bacterial small subunit ribosomal RNA
Source: RNAcentral
UAGGGAAUAUUGGGCAAUGGGCGAAAGCCUGACCCAGCAACGCCGCGUGCACGAUGAAGGCCUUCGGGUUGUAAAGUGCUUUUCGGGGAGACGAGCAAGGACGGUAUCCCCGGAAGAAGGAUCGGCUAACUACGUGCCAGCAGCCGCGGUAAAACGUAGGAUCCGAGCGUUAUCCGAAUUCACUGGGCGUAAAGCGCGUGCAGGCGGCCCGUUAAGUUGGAUGUGAAAUCUCCUGGCUCAACUGGGAGAGGCUGUUCAAUACUGGCGGGCUCGAGGACGGUAGAGGGAGGUGGAAUUCCCGGUGUAGUGGUGAAAUGCGUAGAUAUCGGGAGGAACACCAGUGGCGAAGGCGGCCUCCUGGGCCGUUCCUGACGCUCAGACGCGAAAGCUAGGGGAGCGAACGGG